CCUGACGGUCUGAAUCUUUUACUAUAGAACCAGCUAAAGAUGGCAGAGAUGUCUCAGGAUUCCCUCCUGCAGAAAAAGCUAAACGAACUGAAAGAAAAACUCGAGGAGCAAUUUCGAGACAGAGAGCGAGAACUUCAGGAGAAUGAGAAGGUUCUGGAGGGGCUGGCUGCCCUGGAGGAAGCAAAAUUAAAGGAGGCAAUUGAUGAAGAAAAGACAAAGGUCCGAGAUUUGGAAGCUCAGAUGAAGCGAUUGGCUGAGGUAUAUAGAAAUCCGUGGGCCUGCCUCCUCAUUGCCAUCCCACAAUCUCCUCUAGCAGACAGCUAGAGAGAUAAAUAUUUAUAUUGUGCAUUUUGAGUGUUCAAAGGAAGCACUUCUUCCUACAUUAAGUUACUUAAUAACCAUAGGUCCUUUUCCACUUUUAUAUCACACCAUUCUUCUCAGGAACUAAAGGCAGAGUACAUGGUUCUUGCCUCCCUUCACCUCCACAUUUUGCCCUCUCAAAAACAAACAAACAGGCAAAGAAACAAAAAAACCAUUGUAGGCUGAGAAGGCAAGGGUGCCUCAAGGUUACCAAGUGGCUGAGCGUGAGUUUCAUGCCUAGGUCUGAC
RNAcentral lists this long non-coding RNA (608 nucleotides) under Podarcis muralis (Common wall lizard). RNAcentral describes it as "lncRNA (ENSPMRG00000012745.1)". Lineage: Eukaryota; Metazoa; Chordata; Lepidosauria; Squamata; Lacertidae. The record is from RNAcentral.